This is a non-coding RNA of Camelina sativa (false flax), 568 nucleotides long. The record is from RefSeq and is a predicted model, not a curated record. Lineage: Eukaryota; Viridiplantae; Streptophyta; Magnoliopsida; Brassicales; Brassicaceae.
UAUUUGUUGGCCAAAAAAACUCUCGACUAUUUUCUCUUUCUCCUCUCUCUCUCUUUGUCUACGAAGAUAUUGAAAAAUCAGAAGAGAUAUCUCUGAAAAAUCGAUUGAAAGCUCGGUUUGAGUGAUUCAGUUUCUUGUGACCUCCGGCGAUGCAUGUAAUCUGAGAACAAAGGGGGAUGAGCUUGAGACCAGAGACGCUGAGCAUGAGAAGCUUAAGUUGAAGUUGAAGAAACUUCAGCAGAUGAAGGAGUUCAACCCUAACAUGAUGAAAAAAGAGUUGCAGAGAGUGGAAUUUUCUGGUAAAGCUUUUGCAUCCGCAGUCUGAUCGAUCUCUGGGACAGAAACUUGCAAGCCAUCUGAACGUGAGGCCAAGCAUCUCCAGUUAUGUUAAGUCUCUCUGUGAGUGAUAAUGCUAACUACAAAGGCUAAACAUUUCAGAGAUUAGCUGCUUUCAGUAUGGAUUAGAUGUGAAUUGCUGCUGCUUUUUUUUCCUAUGUUCAUCUCUUUAAAUAAAGAGUUCAUGAGGAAAUUCUAUUUUUCUGAUUCAAUGGUGUGUGGCUUUUGAAUU